Molecule: unclassified non-coding RNA, 278 nt
Filed under: uncultured fungus
Lineage: Eukaryota; Fungi
Description: partial contains small subunit ribosomal RNA, internal transcribed spacer 1, and 5.8S ribosomal RNA
Rfam family: Eukaryotic small subunit ribosomal RNA (bases 1-73)
Source: RNAcentral
GCAAACUUGGUCAUUUAGAGGAAGUAAAAGUCGUAACAAGGUCUCCGUUGGUGAACCAGCGGAGGGAUCAUUACAGAGUUUACAUACUCCAAAACCCUUUGUCUACCUACCAAAAACGUUGCUUCGGCAGGCGACCCCAGGGCGGGGUCGUUGGGUGCCUGCCGGAGGUUUUUUCCAAACUCUUGUUUUUACAAACUUGAAUCUCUGAGUACCUAUUGUAAUAAGUUAAAACUUUCAACAACGGAUCUCUUGGUUCUGGCAUCGAUGAAGAACGCAGC